RNAcentral lists this ribosomal RNA (861 nucleotides) under Amanita rubescens. RNAcentral's name for it is "eukaryotic LSU rRNA". It matches the Rfam family "Eukaryotic large subunit ribosomal RNA", at positions 67 to 915 of the family's 3401-position model. Lineage: Eukaryota; Fungi; Basidiomycota; Agaricomycetes; Agaricales; Amanitaceae. The record is from RNAcentral.
AACAAGGAUUCCCUUAGUAACUGCGAGUGAAGAGGGAAAAGCUCAAAUUUAAAAUCUGGCAGUGUUUCACUGUCCGAGUUGUAACCUAGAGAAGUGUAACCUGCACUGGACCGUGUAUAAGUCUCCUGGAAUGGAGCAUCACAGAGGGUGAGAAUCCCGUCUUUGACAUGGACCACCAGUGCAUUGUGGUUGUGCUCUCAACGAGUCGAGUUGUUUGGGAAUGCAGCUCUAAAUGGGUGGUAAAUUCCAUCUAAAGCUAAAUAUUGGCGAGAGACCGAUAGCGAACAAGUACCGUGAGGGAAAGAUGAAAAGAACUUUGGAAAGAGAGUUAAACAGUAUGUGAAAUUGUUGAAAGGGAAACGUUUGAAGUCAGUCGCGUUGGUUGGGGAUCAGCCURACAUUGUUGGGUUUACUUCCUGGUCGACGGGCCAACAUCAGUUUUGACUGCCAGAAAAAGGCCAAAGGAAUGUGGCACCUUUGGGUGUGUUAUAGCCCUUGGUCGUAUAUGGUGGUUGGGACUGAGGAAAGCAGCGUGCCGAAAGGCCGGGUUUCGACCACGUUCACGCUGAGGAUGUUGGCAUAAUGGCUUUAAGCGACCCGUCUUGAAACACGGACCAAGGAGUCUAACAUGCAUGCGAGUGUUUGGGUGGAAAACCCUUACGCGUAAUGAAAGUGAAAGUUGAGAUCCCUGUCGCGGGGAGCAUCGACGCCCGGACCAGAACUUUUGGGACGGAUCUGCGGUAGAGCACGUAUGUUGGGACCCGAAAGAUGGUGAACUAUGCCUGAAUAGGGUGAAGCCAGAGGAAACUCUGGUGGAGGCUCGUAGCGAUUCUGACGUGCAAAUCGAUCGUCAAAUUUGGG